Long non-coding RNA from Triticum dicoccoides, 780 nucleotides. RefSeq lists it as uncharacterized. The record is from RefSeq and is a predicted model, not a curated record. NCBI's taxonomy places the organism in Eukaryota, Viridiplantae, Streptophyta, Magnoliopsida, Poales, Poaceae. The transcript has 2 exons.
AUCGUUGAUUUACUCCAAAUCUGACGCUCGGGAGUAGUCUUGCCUUUGUAAAUAAGGAAAUAAAAUAAAUCACCCCGUAACUUCCGCGUGUUGCCCAGAUUCCUAUCGGGACGCAGAUUUUCCUCCACCCCGACCUCGCCUCGCGGCCCUCGCCAGAUCCCCUUUCCCCCGGCUCCGCCCCGCACCUCCUUCUCCGGCCAUCUCCGGUCCCCCGCUCCUCCUUCUCUCCUCGUGCAAUCGCUCACAUAUGAGGCCGCGGCGCCUUCACUACCGGGUGGCAAUCACACAUGGCCGGGGAGGCUCGCCAGCGGCGACAAGUGCGGGUGACAGGUACACAAGGCACCGAGGAAACGACAUAGCGGCUGCUGGUGAUUGCAAUUGCAGGUUGCAUCGUGCAGCCGUUCUCCGUGGUGACGGUGCGGUAACUAACGCGACUAAUGCAGACAUUGGCAGCCAGCAAGUGACGCAGUUUCUUGAUCUCCCAAGCCCCCUCGCCGCCCCUAGGCUAUGCCAGAAUCAUGCUUCCAAUUAACACUAAUUCUGUUCUGAACAUACUCUUUUCAUGCUUCUUAUCCAUGGUGAUUUUAAAUUGUAAUACGCAUGCUUCUCGGGGGAGAGUAUGCUUCCAUAGGUAAACAAAAUUCAGUGAAAUUUGUAUGUAGGUGAACCAAACUUGCAUCCCCAUGUUGCCGCAAUCUUAGUUUGUUUCUAUGUUCAAUGUUAUAUACUUGAAAAGACAAGUCAGAUUCAUGUAUACUAUACAUAUUUCAUGCUUCCUGA